Molecule: ribosomal RNA, 253 nt
Filed under: uncultured bacterium
Lineage: Bacteria
Description: partial 16S ribosomal RNA
Rfam family: Bacterial small subunit ribosomal RNA
Source: RNAcentral
UACGAAGGGGGCUAGCGUUGUUCGGAAUUACUGGGCGUAAAGCGCGUGUAGGCGGCUAAGUAAGUCGGGCGUGAAAUCCCACGGCUCAACCGUGGAAGUGCACUCGAAACUGCGUAGCUAGAGUCCUGGAGAGGAAGGUGGAAUGCUUGGUGUAGAGGUGAAAUUCGUAGAUAUCAAGCGGAACACCGGUGGCGAAGGCGGCCUUCUGGACAGUGACUGACGCUGAGACGCGAAAGCGUGGGGAGCAAACAGG